UACGUAGGGGGCAAGCGUUAUCCGGAUUUACUGGGUGUAAAGGGUGCGUAGGCGGCCUGCUAAGUCUGGAGUGAAAGGUACCGGCUCAACCGGUACAGGCUCUGGAAACUGGCGGGCUAGAGAGCAGGAGAGGGCGGUGGAACUCCAUGUGUAGCGGUAAAAUGCGUAGAUAUAUGGAGGAACACCGGUGGCGAAAGCGGCUCUCUGGCCUGUAACUGACACUGAGGCUCGAAGGCGUGGGGAGCAAACAGG
Molecule: ribosomal RNA, 252 nt
Filed under: uncultured bacterium
Lineage: Bacteria
Description: partial 16S ribosomal RNA
Rfam family: Bacterial small subunit ribosomal RNA
Source: RNAcentral